This 253-nucleotide ribosomal RNA is filed under the name uncultured bacterium. Its description in RNAcentral is "partial 16S ribosomal RNA". It matches the Rfam family "Bacterial small subunit ribosomal RNA", at positions 524 to 776 of the family's 1533-position model. The record is from RNAcentral.
UACAGAGGUCCCAAGCGUUGUUCGGAUUCAUUGGGCGUAAAGGGUGCGUAGGUGGCGCCGUAAGUGGGGUGUGAAAUUUCGGAGCUUAACUCCGAAACUGCAUUCCAUACUGCGGUGCUUGAGGACUGGAGAGGAGACUGGAAUUUACGGUGUAGCGGUGAAAUGCGUAGAUAUCGUAAGGAAGACCAGUGGCGAAGGCGGGUCUCUGGACAGUUCCUGACGCUGAGGCACGAAGGCCAGGGGAGCAAACGGG